RNAcentral lists this ribosomal RNA (448 nucleotides) under uncultured bacterium. Its description in RNAcentral is "bacterial SSU rRNA". It matches the Rfam family "Bacterial small subunit ribosomal RNA", at positions 958 to 1400 of the family's 1533-position model. The record is from RNAcentral.
AACGCGAAGAACCUUACCUGGGCUUGACAUGCCAGGAUUAUCCCUGUGAAAGCAGGGUAGGCCCUUCGGGGUACAACUGGUACAGGUGCUGCAUGGCUGUCGUCAGCUCGUGUCGUGAGAUGUCGGGUUAAGUCCCUUAACGAGCGAAACCUUUGCCCUUAGUUACCAUCGAGUAAAGUCGGGGACUCUAAGGGGACUGCCGGUGUCAAACCGGAGGAAGGUGGAGAUGACGUCAAGUCCUCAUGGCCUUUAUGCCCAGGGCCACACACGUGCUACAAUGGGGUGCAUAAAGCGAACCUAAAGUGCAAACUCAUGGAAAUCGCAAAAAUCACUCCCCAGUUCAGAUUGGAGGCUGCAACUCGCCUCCAUGAAGUUGGAAUCGCUAGUAAUCGCGGAUCAGCUACGCCGCGGUGAAUGUGUUCCCGGGCCUUGUACACACCGGUAUCUC